This is a non-coding RNA of Coturnix japonica (Japanese quail), 2383 nucleotides long. The record is from RefSeq and is a predicted model, not a curated record. NCBI's taxonomy places the organism in Eukaryota, Metazoa, Chordata, Aves, Galliformes, Phasianidae.
CUAAUGAGAUAGUUUGACUAUGUAUGUGCCAGUUUCUCUAAAUAUGAUCAGAGUUUCCUGUCUUCAGAGGUUGAUUCACGUGGAUGGGCCUGUGAUAUGAUGACCUGCUCCAUCAAGCUUCUCUUGGACUGACUGAUAUUUGGGCAGUUCUUUCUCACAGAAAGCAGAACACACAGAUGGGGAAGAAAAAGAUGGGUCUUGAUGAAGAAGCAGUUCCAUCUUGUGCUGAGUGACUAGAAAAAUUAAAAAGUUUUUCUUCUUCCACUGGAACAACAGUGUACUUCAAAAUGACAGAGAGCGAUACCAACAGUUUCCUUGAAGGAUGACAGGAUAGCAGUAAAGUGGCUAUGUUACACUGCAAGAUGCCUGGACACCUGGACACAAACACUAUCCUAAAGCUGACCUGCUACAGAGACAAUUACUGUUGCUACAAGAAGCUGAAGGAGCUGCAACAGUAAGAAAAAUGCUGAAAAAGCAGCAAGCAAAACUCGUCAUGUAGGGUCUGGUUCAUCCAUACGAAAGGCCAUUAACAAAGACUUUUCUUCUUCUAAGAGGAAGCCUUGAGAGGUCCAAGAUAUGGCGGGGCAGGACAAGAAAAAGCCAGUCAUCGUGGUUUAACUGUUUUGCUGCUUUGUAAAAAGAUAGAAUUUGCCCCAGGUGCGCAACUGUAUUUCAUAAGCUUUUAUGACACCACUGAAUGCAUUUCCCUAAUCGUAUUUAAAAAUCAUGCCCAUAUUCUCCGUUCAGGAGGUUAGAGCUGAAUUUUCUUUCAAUGAACAAGAAUUUCAGUGGAUGUAUUUCAAAACCAUUUUAAAAGAUGCCAACCUAUAUGUAUAACUAAACCAGAAAGUUAAAAAAAAUAUAUAUGAAAAAUCCCCCCUAGGCUUUGUAUCUAUGCCUGUUUUCUUUAAAUCUUAUACUGAUAUACCACUGAUAACAAAGAUCAUAUGGGUUAAAAGAUAUAUAUUACUUAUAGAAACACAGAACAUGCUCCACUCCUUAGGAAAACAGUUAAUUUCUAUAAAACUCAGUGUUCCUUAGAAGUAAUACAGAGAAAAUAAUGUAUGUAAUGGUUAUAAUUUUCUCCUUACACCUUCAUUCUCUAGGGUCUUAUAGGAAGGGCCAAAAUUUAGACUUAAUAGAACUCUUGCCUGGUGAUAGCCUUGUGCUGAAUUCCUUUACCAGCAAGCUCUUCAAAUUUCACAUUUAAGUUCCAUACUUGUGAAUAGAACUAGUAAUAUUAGUGGCUAGAAAUUCGGGGCCCAAAGUCAUAAAAUCAUUUGACAAUUGAAAGCUAUCAAUUAAAGAAGUUACAGAGGGUUCCCCCCCCGGUGUGCUGGGUUAGUCUUGAUCUGUCUUUUGUUAAUAUUCAUGAAAAAGCUUCUUCAUUGUGCUAAGCUGAAUAUUUUGUGCAGUACUCUCCUAAACACAGAUGUGGAUGUGACAGGCACAAAAGAGUACUGCCACCCUAGAUGCUAAAGAAAAGAAGAAAUUUGCUCAUGACUAAAAGCCUUUAUCUCUCUUUCAAAAGAAAUUGCAUAUUAAGCUUUCAAAUAGGCUCCAUCAAUACUUCAAUUUAAUUAGUGUAUUAAAUUGUCUAUCUCAAAAAGACAUAUAUUUCCCAUAGAAAAGGAUAAUUACAUUUUUUAAAUGUACUUUUCUGCUGGGCUUAUUUCCUUUUAACUAGUAAAAAUAAUCCAAUCUCAACCACUUAAUUUAUUCCAAGAGAGCAUAGGAAAAUAUGUUCACUGGACCACAACCAAGGUUAAUGAACUAAUGCAUCAGUCCAAGAUUCAGGUGAGGCAUUUUUUAGACAAGAGGCAUGGAAACUGCAUGUGACCGGAGUAAACUUGCGAGUUCUGUGGAUGCUGAUCUCAUCUGCCUAAUUCUUCUGAUACUGAUAUUCCUCAGGUACAGCAAGAAUAUAGAAAACAAAAUAGACCAUCUUUUGUGCAUUGAUGUAUACCUGUACAUCACUAAGGAAGCUGUUAUUGAGAGUAAUCCUUGCACACACUGUAGGCACAGAAUCUCCAUAGUGAUGGACAAAAAUAUCCUUGUAUGCUCCUGCUGCAUUGUUUUGCUGAGUAUGGGAUCCUAUACUGAGCUGUCACUCUUAAUGUGACAAAAUUCCCUGGGUAAAAAACUCAUGUUUAUAAUGCAAUCAGCAGUUUAAUGGAAACUGACAGUUCAAGAGAAAUUUGGGAGAUUUGUUAUUUUUGUUUUCUCAAUCAGCCUUUUCCAAAAUGAUGCUGUUUAAAAAAAUAUAUUCUGACUUGAACAAUAGAUGCUGCUCCAUCUAGUCUAGCUCACUAGCAAGAGACAGAGAUAUUGACUUUUUCACAGAAUCACAGAGUCAUGGAAUGACCCGGGUUGGAAGGGACUU